RNAcentral lists this ribosomal RNA (455 nucleotides) under uncultured organism. RNAcentral's name for it is "bacterial SSU rRNA". It matches the Rfam family "Bacterial small subunit ribosomal RNA", at positions 346 to 794 of the family's 1533-position model. The record is from RNAcentral.
GUGCACCAGGCGAGAAUUUUUCUCAAUGGGGGCAACCCUGAAGGAGCGACGCCGCGUGGAGGAUGAAGGCUUUCGGGUUGUAAACUCCUGUCAUUUGAGAACAAGUGUAGCCAAGUAACUACUGGCUACUUGAUAGUAUCAGAAGAGGAAGGGACGGCUAACUCUGUGCCAGCAGCCGCGGUAAUACAGAGGUCCCAAGCGUUGUUCGGAUUCAUUGGGCGUAAAGGGUGCGUAGGUGGCGCCGUAAGUGGGGUGUGAAAUUUCGGAGCUUAACUCCGAAACUGCAUUCCAUACUGCGGUGCUUGAGGACUGGAGAGGAGACUGGAAUUCAUGGUGUAGCAGUGAAAUGCGUAGAGAUCAUGAGGAAGACCAGUGGCGAAGGCGGGUCUCUGGACAGUUCCUGACACUGAGGCACGAAGGCUAGGGGAGCGAACGGGAUUAGAUACCCGUGUAGU